RNAcentral lists this long non-coding RNA (1376 nucleotides) under Mus spicilegus (steppe mouse). RNAcentral's name for it is "lncRNA (ENSMSIG00000008260.1)". Lineage: Eukaryota; Metazoa; Chordata; Mammalia; Rodentia; Muridae. The record is from RNAcentral.
CUACCACCUGCCAGACCAGCCAUCUGAAGGUUCCUGGAUUGGAGGGCUCUACAGACAAGCAGAGUUCACCACCUCACAUGAAGUGCAGGGAGCAAGGAGUCUGUAACUUAGUCUGCUAGAGCCAAAACUCCAGAAGCAGGGACCCCAGUGCAUGGACAAGACCUGCCUUUGCUAUGUGGUUCACAGGCCUCAGCAGAGACAUCAGAGACUGCUGACUAGCUGGUCCCUAAGACGGAUAGUCACUCUGCAUCCACACCAGAUUCCGAGUUCUGAAAUCACUUUGACGGUGCAAGGCCUGUGGGUGCACCAGAGAACCCGACAACCUGCCAAAAUCCUCCGGGCUUCCGCAGAGCAGCCCAGAGGCUCCAAGGAAUGACAUCAUCCCUUCUCAACAAGUAGCUAGAGCAAGAAGAUGAUACUGUGAGCCCUGCCCUUGGGAAGCUUCCAGAGGAGCAACACCCAGGAGCAAAGAGGACCCAGGUACAAAGGCCAGGCUACCACACAGCACAGUGGAGAUGACAUCCACAGCAGUGAGAAUGGUGGUCCCCGUUCAGCCUCCGAGCUAAGCCGUUUGAUCCUUGAGGCUGUGGAGUAGGCAGGGUACUAGCUUCAGAGACCUAACACCACUCAUCCCCAGUGGUGGGCAAGAAUCCAAACAGAGGUCCACCAGGUCCAUGCACUUGCUCUUUCAUCUCAAUUCUUGGCCACCCUAAGUUCUAGGUAGGGGCUUGUCACUUCCCUUUCAGAAAAGCCUUGAGGGAUCCCCACUACCAAUAACAUAGCCCUUCCCGGUGAGGCUCCCCUCAAACCACAGCCGAGGAAGCAACCACUGUCUUCCACCCACACCGGCCACAUCUUAGGUUUCACCCUGGAGUUUCCCAAGUCUCCUCUGUGCUCCGAAUGAACCGCAUGCCCCAUUUUACAGAUAAGAAACCAGAGGGUUAAGAAUGUUAAGUAACUAGCCCAAGGUCACGCAGCUGGGAAACAAAUGAGCCUGGCUAGAACUCGGGUCAUUAGCAUGCCCAUUUGUGUUCCAGGCAAUUAGGGAAGGGGAAUUAACGACCCGUGCUGCUAAUGGUCCCAGGGAGAAAGGUUCCAGAGUUGACUAAGGCACCUGGGCCUUGAGAAAUGGAUGGGUCUGCACAGUCAGAGCAGGAAGAGUGAGAAGAAUAUAGAAAGUGCCGAAAGGGAGUUAGUGGUGGGCUUGUCCAAACUAGGCUUUGUCCCAAAUUGGGACACGGUAAGAGAAGCCAUAGAAUGGGAGUCACUCCGUGUGUCCCCCUAACUUGUUGCACAACAUUAAGUGAGCCCCUUCCCUCUUUUGAUGACUUUUCUAUAUAUAAAAGACUAAUUAAGCCUGGGUGGCUUCUUGGGUC